This 301-nucleotide ribosomal RNA is filed under the name uncultured bacterium. Its description in RNAcentral is "partial 16S ribosomal RNA". It matches the Rfam family "Bacterial small subunit ribosomal RNA", at positions 509 to 808 of the family's 1533-position model. The record is from RNAcentral.
CAGUCGCCGCGGUAAUACAGAGGGUGCGAGCGUUAAUCGGAUUUACUGGGCGUAAAGCGUGCGUAGGCGGCUUUUAAGUCGGAUGUGAAAUCCCUGAGCUUAACUUAGGAAUUGCAUUCGAUACUGGGAAGCUAGAGUAUGGGAGAGGAUGGUAGAAUUCCAGGUGUAGCGGUGAAAUGCGUAGAGAUCUGGAGGAAUACCGAUGGCGAAGGCAGCCAUCUGGCCUAAUACUGACGCUGAGGUACGAAAGCAUGGGGAGCAAACAGGAUUAGAUACCCCGGUAGUCCCUGUCUCUUAUACA